Rhincodon typus (whale shark) is the source of this 706-nucleotide long non-coding RNA. RefSeq lists it as uncharacterized. NCBI's taxonomy places the organism in Eukaryota, Metazoa, Chordata, Chondrichthyes, Orectolobiformes, Rhincodontidae. The transcript has 3 exons. The record is from RefSeq and is a predicted model, not a curated record.
AAAGGGAUCAGCGCAGGCGCCGUGAAGUGAGGCUAGCCGGCUCUGUGGAGCGGAGUUGGGUUAAGAGCGGGAGCGGGAGCCGGCUGAGGGCUAACUGGAGGGAAGCAUCAGCGGCAGGAAGAUAGGGGCCGAUAAGACCAUAGAAACGGGGUACAGAGAGAGGGGUCACCUGGUGGUGAGCACCAGCUGACACCCCAUUAGCCCGGGCUGGUCGUACCCACAUUCUUCCCGGUUAAACAGCAGGCAGCGCGGGGUCCCCGCUUCGGCCAUCUUCGGCUGUUCGCUGAGAUCAGAGGCCGGCUUGGGGCUGAGUGCCCUCCCUCUCAUCCCCUCUUUUCCCAACACUAGUAAUGUGACUGGGCCGGAGAAACGUGUCCCCCAGCCCAUCCCGCGCCCAAACCUGAGGUCCACUCCUGUGAGUAAGCAGCAGCAACCACCUCACUACCUCGAAAAGCGACAGUAACUUCAUGCAGCCUUCUCCCUUCUGAAUUACAGGAGAUCUUUAACCCACACAACCAACUCUGAAGAUGCCCAGAAAAAGGUACACUUUAAAUGAAUUAGUAGACCAAUCAACGAAGACUGAAGAAACGAACAGGGUUGUGCUGCGUACCCGAAAGCGAAAAGCCGACGUUGCCAUUUGUUUGCAAGACUUGGAUGAAGUUACAGAAGUGCAGUCUACGAAACCAUAUGGAAAGGAGGUAAUAGA